RNAcentral lists this ribosomal RNA (375 nucleotides) under uncultured bacterium. RNAcentral describes it as "bacterial SSU rRNA". It matches the Rfam family "Bacterial small subunit ribosomal RNA", at positions 28 to 404 of the family's 1533-position model. The record is from RNAcentral.
GACGAACGCUGGCGGCGUGCUUAACACAUGCAAGUCGAGCGGUAAGGCCCUUUCGGGGGUACACGAGCGGCGAACGGGUGAGUAACACGUGGGUGACCUGCCCUCAGCUCUGGGAUAAGCCUGGGAAACCGGGUCUAAUACCGGAUAUGACUCCAUGACGCAUGUUGUGGGGUGGAAAGCCUUGUGCGGCUGAGGAUGGGCCCGCGGCCUAUCAGCUUGUUGGUGGGGUGAUGGCCUACCAAGGCGACGACGGGUAGCCGGCCUGAGAGGGCGACCGGCCACACUGGGACUGAGACACGGCCCAGACUCCUACGGGAGGCAGCAGUGGGGAAUCUUGCGCAAUGGGCGAAAGCCUGACGCAGCGACGCCGCGUGA